CCUACGGGAGGCAGCAGUAAGGAAUAUUGGUCAAUGGACGAAAGUCUGAACCAGCCAUGCCGCGUGAAGGAUUAAGGCCCUCUGGGUUGUAAACUUCUUUUAUCUGGGACGAAAAAAGGGUAUUCUUACUCACUUGACGGUACCAGAGGAAUAAGCACCGGCUAACUCCGUGCCAGCAGCCGCGGUAAUACGGAGGGUGCAAGCGUUAUCCGGAUUUACUGGGUUUAAAGGGUGCGUAGGUGGGCUUGUAAGUCAGUGGUGAAAUCUCCGGGCUUAACCCGGAAACUGCCAUUGAUACUAUAGGUCUUGAAUUAUCUGGAGGUAAGCGGAAUAUGUCAUGUAGCGGUGAAAUGCUUAGAUAUGACAUAGAACACCAAUUGCGAAGGCAGCUUACUACGGAUAUAUUGACACUGAGGCACGAAAGCGUGGGGAUCAAACAGGAUUAGAUACCCUGGUAGUCCACGCCCUAAACGAUGGAUACUCGACAUCAGCGAUACACUGUUGGUGUCUGAGNGAAGANAUAGUAUCCACCNGGAGAGANCGCAGAUAGAACUACAAGAAGUAGUAGCGUGAGAGAGACGACGACGACGACGACGGAGGAGGAGG
Molecule: ribosomal RNA, 606 nt
Filed under: uncultured bacterium
Lineage: Bacteria
Description: bacterial SSU rRNA
Rfam family: Bacterial small subunit ribosomal RNA (bases 1-532)
Source: RNAcentral